AUUGAACGCUGGCGGCAGGCCUAACACAUGCAAGUCGAGCGGAUGAAGGGAGCUUGCUCCUGGAUUCAGCGGCGGACGGGUGAGUAAUGCCUAGGAAUCUGCCUGGUAGUGGGGGAUAACGUCUGGAAACGGGCGCUAAUACCGCAUACGUCCUGAGGGAGAAAGUGGGGGAUCUUCGGACCUCACGCUAUCAGAUGAGCCUAGGUCGGAUUAGCUAGUUGGUGGGGUAAAGGCCUACCAAGGCGACGAUCCGUAACUGGUCUGAGAGGAUGAUCAGUCACACUGGAACUGGGACACGGUCCAGACUCCUACGGGAGGCCGCAGUGGGGAAUAUUAGACAAUGGGCGAAAACCUGAUCCAGCCAUGCCGCGUGUGUGAAGAAGGUCUUCGGAUUGUAAAGCACUUUAAGUUGGGAGGAAGGGCAGUAAGUUAAUACCUUGCUGUUUUGACGGUACCAACAGAAUAAGCACCGGCUAACUUCGUG
RNAcentral lists this ribosomal RNA (484 nucleotides) under uncultured bacterium. Its description in RNAcentral is "partial 16S ribosomal RNA". It matches the Rfam family "Bacterial small subunit ribosomal RNA", at positions 30 to 507 of the family's 1533-position model. The record is from RNAcentral.